GUGCUUGCUUCGGCAGCACAUAUACUAAAAUUGGAACGAUACAGGGAAGAUUAGCAUGGCCCUUGUGAAGGGUGACACGCAAAUUCAUGAAGCAUUCCAUAUUUUA
Small nuclear RNA from Neogale vison (American mink), 106 nucleotides. The record is from Ensembl. Lineage: Eukaryota; Metazoa; Chordata; Mammalia; Carnivora; Mustelidae.